This 330-nucleotide unclassified non-coding RNA is filed under the name soil metagenome. RNAcentral describes it as "partial contains 5.8S ribosomal RNA, internal transcribed spacer 2, and large subunit ribosomal RNA". The stretch from base 1 to 120 matches the Rfam family "5.8S ribosomal RNA", at positions 35 to 154 of the family's 154-position model. The record is from RNAcentral.
GAUGAAGAACGUAGCGAAAUGCGAUAAGUAAUGUGAAUUGCAGAAUUCAGUGAAUCAUCGAAUCUUUGAACGCACAUUGCGCCCUCUGGUAUUCCGGGGGGCAUGCCUGUUCGAGCGUCAUUAUAACCACUCAAGCUCUCGCUUGGUAUUGGGGCUCGCGGUUCCGCGGCCCCUAAAAUCAGUGGCGGUGCCUGUCGGCUCUACGCGUAGUAAUACUCCUCGCGAUUGAGUCCCGAUAGGUCUACUUGCCAGCAACCCCCAAUUUUUACAGGUUGACCUCGGAUCAGGUAGGGAUACCCGCUGAACUUAAGCAUAUCAAUAAGCGGAGGA